UGCCUAAGGUUCUCCAUCCCCUUGCAACGUGGAUCCCUCUCCAUCGCCAAGAGAAGGGGGUUUACAGCAAAAAUUACCCCGAUGUUAUCCAGCUUGGCCUUUUCAAGAAGGAACCCAGCCUUCGAAAAUGCAGGUUUAUAUACGGUGAGCCAGCACCAGACACCGAAGACUGUGCGAGAUGAACCUCUGGCUUCACACAGCCUGCACACCAGAUAUUUCUCAUCCAGAACAAACUGGAUCCACAAAAGGUUCGAUGCUCAGUCAAUGGUAAGUGCAACAUCAUCUUCUUGGGUGGUACUGUGGUCACAGAAGGUUCAAUGAAAGAGUCAGACACUAAAAACCCUUAAAUUUGACAUUUUAUUUCAUUUGCAGAAGAAAAUCCAACAUAGGCCUCAUUAUGUUAUGCAUCUUUAAUUAUAAAAAUAAGCAAAGAAAAUAACUUGCAUCUUUCUCAUUACUAUGAUAUGUUUCAAAUAACCUUUAUAUGAACACACUGAGCUUUAAAAAUGUAAUUUAAACAAUAAAUAAUGACAUAUACCAGAUAUGCUCACUGUUUAUUCCAGUACUCAGCAAAAAAAAAACAAAACAAAAAAACCCCAAACUCUCUCCCCCUUCUAAGUAUCUUUAAAUUAUAAAUACAUAAUGCAAAUUUAUAAUGGCACAAAACAUCUAAAGUGCAAACAAAUCACAAUGAGAAUCAUGCAAACGUUUCUAGAUAAGCCCCUCCCCGCCCCCGAGAGAAAUCAUUUUGCAGUGAACGCGAGAUUAAAAAAAUAAAGCAUUAGAGAUUAAAUAAAACAUGAAAUAGCUGGACUUAAUAUUGAGAAUCAUUUCCCAUCUCCAGGGGGAUGUCUCCCACCUAAGUCAAACCACCUAAAUCAGGCGUCCUUCCCAGUCGAGGGGAAGCACCUCUCCCAUCUCCGUGUCCCCCUCCCCUGACAAGAGAGAGCUUUAAGUGACCAGCUUAGGCUAGAUGGCAAAAGUUAGGCAAGGUGAACCCCAGGCCUUGCGAUGUGAUGGAUGCGUGCUCGCGGCUUCCUUCCUACUUCAGCAUAGG
Athene cunicularia (burrowing owl) is the source of this 1057-nucleotide long non-coding RNA. RefSeq lists it as uncharacterized. The transcript is spliced from 2 exons. Lineage: Eukaryota; Metazoa; Chordata; Aves; Strigiformes; Strigidae. The record is from RefSeq and is a predicted model, not a curated record.